RNAcentral lists this non-coding RNA (30 nucleotides) under Rattus norvegicus (Norway rat). Lineage: Eukaryota; Metazoa; Chordata; Mammalia; Rodentia; Muridae. The record is from RNAcentral.
UUCCAAAUCUGUUUGACAGGAAUGCUCCGA